RNAcentral lists this ribosomal RNA (1343 nucleotides) under uncultured bacterium. Its description in RNAcentral is "16S ribosomal RNA". It matches the Rfam family "Bacterial small subunit ribosomal RNA", at positions 28 to 1378 of the family's 1533-position model. The record is from RNAcentral.
GACGAACGCUGGCGGCGUGCUUAACACAUGCAAGUCGAACGGAAAGGCCCUGCUUUUGUGGGGUGCUCGAGUGGCGAACGGGUGAGUAACACGUGAGUAACCUGCCCUUGACUUUGGGAUAACUUCAGGAAACUGGGGCUAAUACCGGAUAGGAGCUCCUGCAGCAUGGUGGGGGUUGGAAAGUUUCGGCGGUUGGGGAUGGACUCGCGGCUUAUCAGCUUGUUGGUGGGGUAGUGGCUUACCAAGGCUUUGACGGGUAGCCGGCCUGAGAGGGUGACCGGCCACACUGGGACUGAGAUACGGCCCAGACUCCUACGGGAGGCAGCAGUGGGGAAUAUUGCACAAUGGGCGGAAGCCUGAUGCAGCAACGCCGCGUGCGGGAUGACGGCCUUCGGGUUGUAAACCGCUUUCGCCUGUGACGAAGCGUGAGUGACGGUAAUGGGUAAAGAAGCACCGGCUAACUACGUGCCAGCAGCCGCGGUGAUACGUAGGGUGCGAGCGUUGUCCGGAUUUAUUGGGCGUAAAGGGCUCGUAGGUGGUUGAUCGCGUCGGAAGUGUAAUCUUGGGGCUUAACCCUGAGCGUGCUUUCGAUACGGGUUGACUUGAGGAAGGUAGGGGAGAAUGGAAUUCCUGGUGGAGCGGUGGAAUGCGCAGAUAUCAGGAGGAACACCAGUGGCGAAGGCGGUUCUCUGGGCCUUUCCUGACGCUGAGGAGCGAAAGCGUGGGGAGCGAACAGGCUUAGAUACCCUGGUAGUCCACGCUGUAAACGGUGGGUACUAGGUGUGGGGUCCAUUCCACGGGUUCCGUGCCGUAGCUAACGCUUUAAGUACCCCGCCUGGGGAGUACGGCCGCAAGGCUAAAACUCAAAGGAAUUGACGGGGCCCCGCACAAGCGGCGGAGCAUGCGGAUUAAUUCGAUGCAACGCGUAGAACCUUACCUGGGUUUGACAUGGAUCGGGAGUGCUCAGAGAUGGGUGUGCCUCUUUUGGGGUCGGUUCACAGGUGGUGCAUGGCUGUCGUCAGCUCGUGUCGUGAGAUGUUGGGUUAAGUCCCGCAACGAGCGCAACCCUUGUUCACUGUUGCCAGCACGUUAUGGUGGGGACUCAGUGGAGACCGCCGGGGUCAACUCGGAGGAAGGUGGGGAUGACGUCAAGUCAUCAUGCCCCUUAUGUCCAGGGCUUCACGCAUGCUACAAUGGCUGGUACAGAGAGUGGCGAGCCUGUGAGGGUGAGCGAAUCUCGGAAAGCCGGUCUCAGUUCGGAUUGGGGUCUGCAACUCGACCUCAUGAAGUCGGAGUCGCUAGUAAUCGCAGAUCAGCAACGCUGCGGUGAAUACGUUCCCGGG